UACGUAGGGGGCGAGCGUUGUCCGGAUUUAUUGGGCGUAAAGAGCUCGUAGGCGGUUGGGCAAGUCACGUGUGAAAUCUCCACGCUCAACGUGGAGGCGCCACGUGAGACUGCCCUGACUGGAGUCCGGUAGGGGAGCGUGGAAUUCCCGGUGUAGCGGUGAAAUGCGCAGAGAUCGGGAGGAACACCCGUAGCGAAGGCGGCGCUCUGGGCCGGUACUGACGCUGAGGUGCGAAAGCGUGGGGAGCAAACAGG
Molecule: ribosomal RNA, 254 nt
Filed under: uncultured bacterium
Lineage: Bacteria
Description: partial 16S ribosomal RNA
Rfam family: Bacterial small subunit ribosomal RNA
Source: RNAcentral